Molecule: small RNA, 656 nt
Filed under: Pongo abelii (Sumatran orangutan)
Lineage: Eukaryota; Metazoa; Chordata; Mammalia; Primates; Hominidae
Description: retained intron
Source: RNAcentral
CGAUCCCCAGCAAAUGCAGAAACAUUUAGUUGUAAUAAAAUAAAAGAUAAUGACAAGGAAGAUGGCUGCUUCUAUUUCAGGUAUUUCUCAAAACAUUUCAUAUUUUGAAUACAUAUCUUGUUACAAAGUAAUUCAACCCUGGAGAUACAUGGGGCUCACUUGAGGAAAAGUAAUUUAUGAUCAAAUAGAAAUGUUAGUGUCUCUAAAUUUUUGUCAGUUUUUUGGGAAAAGGUGUGUUUUCGUUUUUAAGCAUUAAAUUGAUUUUAAGCUUUGUAAAUUGUAAUUGUAUUUGCUUUUGAAACUAUCGAAGCCAUCAGAAGAAUUCUUUUAUGUUGUCAGCACACUUUAUAACUUUUUAUUACAUAGGAGGUUUCUAUAAAGAUUAGACUGGCUUUUAACAUUUCUGUGACUUUGAGCAUGUUGCUGCUUCAUUCUGGACCUCCAUUUUCAAAUCUGAAAAGAUUAUGUCUUAAGUUUCUUUAAAAAUCCUUUAUCAUCAAUAGGGUCAAAAUGCUCAUUAUAUUUGUUCAGUGCUUUUUCAGACUAACUGGUAAAGGACCAAUCAUGGAAGCUCCACCCCUUACCUCUUCCAGUUAUUACCGUCUUCCUUCCUGUUGUGCAUGCCACGCACACACUCAUGCAGACACACACAUGCG